RNAcentral lists this ribosomal RNA (615 nucleotides) under Meira sp. 2 JHW-2012. RNAcentral describes it as "eukaryotic LSU rRNA". It matches the Rfam family "Eukaryotic large subunit ribosomal RNA", at positions 39 to 643 of the family's 3401-position model. The record is from RNAcentral. Lineage: Eukaryota; Fungi; Basidiomycota; Exobasidiomycetes; Exobasidiales; Brachybasidiaceae.
CAUAUCAAUAAGCGGAGGAAAAGAAACUAACAAGGAUUCCCUUAGUAACGGCGAGUGAAGCGGGAAUAGCUCAAAUUUGAAAGCUGGCAGCAAUGUCCGCGUUGUAAUCUAGAGAAGUGUUUUCCGUGCUGGACCAUAGAUAUGUUCCUUGGAAUAGGAUGUCAUAGAGGGUGAGAACCCCGUACAUGCUAUGGACGCCCAGUGCUUUGUGAUACACUUUCGAAGAGUCGAGUUGUUUGGGAAUGCAGCUCAAAAUGGGUGGUAAAUUCCAUCUAAAGCUAAAUAUUGGGGAGAGACCGAUAGCAAACAAGUACCGUGAGGGAAAGAUGAAAAGCACUUUGGAAAGAGAGUUAAACAGUACGUGAAAUUGUCAAAAGGGAAGCGCUUCAAGUCAGAUAUGGCUUUGAAUGUUCAGCCUUUAGGUGUAUUCAUUUUUUGUCAGGCCAGCAUCGAUUUUGAACGUCGGAUAAGGGUAGAAAGAACGUAGCAUACUCUCGGGUAUGUGUUAUAGCUUUUUACUGGAUACGACGAUCGGGAUCGAGGUUCGCAGCACACCCUUUUUGGGCAGGUCUUCGGACACUUUUUGUGCUUAGGAUGCUGGCGUAAUGGCUUUGA